Long non-coding RNA from Salvia splendens (bonfire salvia), 508 nucleotides. RefSeq lists it as uncharacterized. The transcript is spliced from 2 exons. The record is from RefSeq and is a predicted model, not a curated record. NCBI's taxonomy places the organism in Eukaryota, Viridiplantae, Streptophyta, Magnoliopsida, Lamiales, Lamiaceae.
AGAGAGGGGAUGGAGGAAUGAAUUUCCGACCACCUACCUGUCGGGAACGGCGUCGGCGGCUGGGGGAGAUCCUCGGCGACGGUGACUGGGGCAAACCGCGACGGCGAGCCGCCGCGCAUACAGCAGCGGUGGCGGUAGCGUGGUGGCGGCGUGAGCGUAGCCGAGAAAGAGAAGAGGAGAAAGAGAGGAGCACGGCGUGAAGGCUUUAAACGAAUGAGGUUGAGCGGUGACGAGCGCGGUGGGUGUUGAGCAUGAAAGUGAAGAAGAUUAUAAAUAAAAAUUUCUGAAUAUAUUAUGUCUUCAUACAUAAUAAUAUUCUACUCUCGAAAUGCUUCCGCUGAAUAUGGUUUCUUUCGCCAAGUAUUGUGCUCGAAAAUUUUAUAUCGAGUUCCUGAUUGUUGAAAAGACACUCUGAUUUUAUUCGAGCUUUUCCCAUUUGUUUGGAGCUAAAGUCGAGUUUGCACUCUGUGUAUCAUACACUCUGAUAUAUAUUAUUCUUUUAAGCUAA